CCGGUAGUAGGUAAGCGUAUUAACAGGGGUGACGCAGGAAGGUAGCCCGGCGUGGCGAUGGUAGACCACGUCCAAGGCUGUAGGCCGUCUGGUAGGCAAAUCCGCCAGGCAUGAAGGCUGAGAGCUGACGGUGAGCGCACAAGCGCGAACUGGGUGAUCCUAUGCUGCCAAGAAAAGCCUCGGCGCGAGGUUCUAGCCGCCCGUACCCCAAACCGACUCAGGUGGUCAGGUAGAGAAUACUAAGGCGAUCGAGAGAAUCGUGGUUAAGGAACUCGGCAAAAUGCCCCCGUAACUUCGGGAGAAGGGGGGCCCGAAGCGUGAACACCCUCGCGGUGGGAGCGUGGACGGCCGCAGAGACCAGGGAGAAGCGACUGUUUACUAAAAACACAGGUCCGUGCGAAGUCGCAAGACGAUGUAUACGGACUGACGCCUGCCCGGUGCUGGAAGGUUAAGAGGACGGGUCAACCCUUCGGGGUGAAGCUCAGAAUUUAAGCCCCAGUAAACGGCGGUGGUAACUAUAACCAUCCUAAGGUAGCGAAAUUCCUUGUCGGGUAAGUUCCGACCUGCACGAAUGGCGUAACGACUUCUCCGCUGUCUCAACCGCGAACUCGGCGAAAUUGCACUACGAGUAAAGAUGCUCGUUACGCGCAGCAGGACGGAAAGACCCCGGGACCUUUACUAUAGCUUGGUAUUGGUGUUCGGUGCGGCUUGUGUAGGAUAGGUGGGAGACUGUGAAGCCCGUACGCCAGUGCGGGUGGAGUCAACGUUGAAAUACCACUCUGGCCGCUUCGGAUGUCUAACCUCGGUCCGUGAUCCGGACCAGGGACAGUGCCUGGUGGGUAGUUUAACUGGGGCGGUUGCCUCCUAAAAUGUAACGGAGGCGCUCAAAGGUUCCCUCAGCCUGGUUGGCAAUCAGGUGUCGAGUGCAAGUGCACAAGGGAGCUUGACUGUGAGACUGACAGGUCGAGCAGGGACGAAAGUCGGAACUAGUGAUCCGGCGGUGGCUUGUGGAAGCGCCGUCGCUCAACGGAUAAAAGGUACCCCGGGGAUAACAGGCUGAUCUUGCCCAAGAGUCCAUAUCGACGGCAUGGUUUGGCACCUCGAUGUCGGCUCGUCGCAUCCUGGGGCUGGAGUAGGUCCCAAGGGUUGGGCUGUUCGCCCAUUAAAGCGGUACGCGAGCUGGGUUUAGAACGUCGUGAGACAGUUCGGUCCCUAUCCGCUGCGCGCG
This 1228-nucleotide ribosomal RNA is filed under the name feces metagenome. RNAcentral's name for it is "bacterial LSU rRNA". It matches the Rfam family "Bacterial large subunit ribosomal RNA", at positions 1443 to 2653 of the family's 2925-position model. The record is from RNAcentral.